This 380-nucleotide ribosomal RNA is filed under the name uncultured eukaryote. Its description in RNAcentral is "partial 18S ribosomal RNA". It matches the Rfam family "Eukaryotic small subunit ribosomal RNA", at positions 592 to 976 of the family's 1831-position model. The record is from RNAcentral.
CAAUAGCGUAUAUUAAAGUUGUUGCAGUUAAAAAGCUCGUAGUUGGAUUUGUGGCGUACGGUGUGUUCCGGGCACUUGUUGUCUGAGUAACCUGCUGUUGCCAUCCUUGGGUGGAACCUGUGUGGCAUUAGGUUGUCGUGCAGGGGAUGCCCAUCAUUUACUGUGAAAAAAUUAGAGUGUUCAAAGCAGGCUUAUGCCGUUGAAUAUAUUAGCAUGGAAUAGUGAGAUAGGACUUUUUUGCUAUUUUGUUGGUUUGCGCAAGAAGGUAAUGAUUAAUAGGGACAGUUGGGGGUAUUCGUAUUCCAUUGUCAGAGGUGAAAUUCUUGGAUUUUUGGAAGACGAACUACUGCGAAAGCAUUUACCAAGGAUGUUUUCAUUAA